This 213-nucleotide ribosomal RNA is filed under the name uncultured Desulfovibrio sp. RNAcentral's name for it is "partial 16S ribosomal RNA". It matches the Rfam family "Bacterial small subunit ribosomal RNA", at positions 1171 to 1382 of the family's 1533-position model. Lineage: Bacteria; Pseudomonadati; Thermodesulfobacteriota; Desulfovibrionia; Desulfovibrionales; Desulfovibrionaceae. The record is from RNAcentral.
AAGUGGGGAUGACGUCAAGUCCUCAUGGCCUUUAUGUCUAGGGCUACACACGUACUACAAUGGACCGGUACAAAGGGCAGCCACUCAGCGAUGAGGCGCUAAUCCCAUAAAGCCGGUCUCAGUCCGGAUCGCAGUCUGCAACUCGACUCCAUGAAGUUGGAAUCGCUAGUAAUCGCGGAUCAGUACGCCGCGGUGAAUACGUUCCCGGGCCUU